RNAcentral lists this ribosomal RNA (792 nucleotides) under Rhacophorus robinsonii (Robinson's flying frog). RNAcentral's name for it is "partial small subunit ribosomal RNA". It matches the Rfam family "Bacterial large subunit ribosomal RNA", at positions 1544 to 2567 of the family's 2925-position model. Lineage: Eukaryota; Metazoa; Chordata; Amphibia; Anura; Rhacophoridae. The record is from RNAcentral.
UAUGAACCCUUACUAUGUACUGAAUAACUCCAUAAAUAUAUGGAAGAUAUUAUGCUAAAACUAGUAACAAGAACUUAGAGUUCUCCAAAAUGCAAGCAUAAACCAAAAUGGACACACCAUUGGAUAUUAACGAAAAUGAACAAAACACAGCAACAUUACAAGAAAACCCUGUGUAAUCAAUCGUUAACCUUACACCAGAGCAUUCCCGGAAAGAUUAAAAGAGAAAGAAGGAACUCGGCAAAUUUCAAUCCCGCCUGUUUACCAAAAACAUCGCCUCUUGCUAAACCAUAAGAGGUCCCGCCUGCCCAGUGAAAAAUUCAACGGCCGCGGAAACCUGACUGCGCAAAGGUAGCAUAAUCACUUGUUCUUUAAAUGGGGACUUGUAUCAACGGCAUCACGAGGAUUGCACUGUCUCCUUUCUCCAAUCAGUGAAACUGAUCUCCCCGUGAAAAAGCGGGAAUACAACCAUAAGACGAGAAGACCCCAUGGAGCUUUAAACUUACAACAUCUUAACUUCAUAUAGUCCCUUACAACUGAUAAGCCAUGCACGUAAGUUUUAGGUUGGGGUGACCACGGAGUAAAAAUCAACCUCCACGACGAAAAGAACUAAACCCUUUACCCAAGAGCUACCUCUCUAAGAACUAGCACACUAACGUUUAUGACCCGACAAUCGAUCAACGGACCAAGUUACCCUGGGGAUAACAGCGCAAUCUACUUUGAGAGCUCAUAUCGACAAGUAGGCUUACGACCUCGAUGUUGGACCAGGGUAUCCGAGUGGUGCAGCCGCUACUA